This 687-nucleotide ribosomal RNA is filed under the name Rickia wasmannii. RNAcentral's name for it is "eukaryotic LSU rRNA". The record is from RNAcentral. Lineage: Eukaryota; Fungi; Ascomycota; Laboulbeniomycetes; Laboulbeniales; Laboulbeniaceae.
CUUGGUCAUUUAGAGGAAGUAAAAGUCGUAACAAGGUUUCCGUAGGUGAACCUGCGGAAGGAUCAUUAGUGAAUUGCUCUSUGAGCGUUAAACUAUAUCCAUCUACACCUGUGAACUGUUCUUGGUCAUUUAGAGGAAGUAAAAGUYGUAACAAGGUUUCCGUAGGUGAACCUGCGGAGGAUCAUUAUGGUUUUUUUUUUCCAUCAAAAAAAAUAUUUGCGUAAUUUUUAGCAUUAAAACUUUUGGCAAUGGAUCUCUUGGUUCUGGCAACGAUGAAGAACGCAGCAAAAUGCGAUAACUAGUGUGAAUUGCAUAUUUUAGUGAAUCAUCAAGUUUUUGAACGCACAUGGCGCUCUUUGGCAUUCCAGGGAGCAUGUCUGUCCAAGCGCAAUUACAAACAUAUGAGUAUUCAGUUUUGCGGGCGCUGCAUCUGCACCCUGCUAAAUGUGUGAAGCGAGAUUGGCAAGCAGCCGCAGUCAUGGAAUUUUCCGAUUGCAGCAGCAAACAAUAUGCCUUGGAUCARACAGGAGGACCCACUGAACUUAAGCAUAUCAAUAAGCGGAGGAAAYKUUUCKCUGGUGUCKGCUUGAGAAGUACGCUUCUAAUCGUCUUCGGACAAUUCUUGAACUCUGGUCUCAAAUCASGUAGGGCUACCCGCUGAACUUAAGCAUAUCAAUAAGCGGAGGA